This 253-nucleotide ribosomal RNA is filed under the name uncultured bacterium. Its description in RNAcentral is "partial 16S ribosomal RNA". It matches the Rfam family "Bacterial small subunit ribosomal RNA", at positions 524 to 776 of the family's 1533-position model. The record is from RNAcentral.
UACGAAGGGGGCUAGCGUUGUUCAGAAUUACUGGGCGUAAAGCGUGCGCAGGCGGCUUCUCAAGUCAGGGGUGAAAGCCCAGAGCUCAACUCUGGAAUUGCCUUUGAGACUGAGUGGCUUGAGUACGGGAGAGGUGAGUGGAAUUCCCAGUGUAGAGGUGAAAUUCGUAGAUAUUGGGAAGAACACCGGUGGCGAAGGCGGCUCACUGGCCCGUAACUGACGCUCAUGCACGACAGCGUGGGGAUCAAACAGG